GGCUCAGGAUGAACGCUAGCGGCAGGCUUAAUACAUGCAAGUCGAGGGGUAGCAUGAUUGUAGCAAUACAAUUGAUGACGACCGGCAAACGGGUGCGGAACACGUACACAACCUUCCUACAAGUGGGGAAUAGCCCAGAGAAAUUUGGAUUAAUGCUCCAUAGUAUUAUUAAACUGCAUGGUUUGAUAAUUAAAGCUCCGGCGGUUAUAGAUAGACAUGCGUCCCAUUAGCUAGUUGGUGAGGUAACGGCUCACCAAGGCGACGAUGGGUAGGGGGCCUGAGAGGGUGAACCCCCACACUGGUACUGAGACACGGACCAGACUCCUACGGGAGGCAGCAGUGAGGAAUAUUGGUCAAUGGAGGCAACUCUGAACCAGCCAUCCCGCGUGAAGGAUGAAUGCCCUAGUGGUUGUAAACUUCUUUUAUAUAGGAAUAACCGUAAGUACGUGUACUUACCUGAAGGUACUAUAUGAAUAAGCAUCGGCUAACUCCGUG
Molecule: ribosomal RNA, 495 nt
Filed under: uncultured bacterium
Lineage: Bacteria
Description: bacterial SSU rRNA
Rfam family: Bacterial small subunit ribosomal RNA
Source: RNAcentral